This is a long non-coding RNA of Cercocebus atys (sooty mangabey), 1069 nucleotides long. RefSeq lists it as uncharacterized. The record is from RefSeq and is a predicted model, not a curated record. NCBI's taxonomy places the organism in Eukaryota, Metazoa, Chordata, Mammalia, Primates, Cercopithecidae. The transcript is spliced from 3 exons.
UUGAUUUUCAGAAUAACAACUUUGCUUGUUAAGAAUUCUACAUAUAUAAACUUUUUCUUGACAUCUGUAGGUCAAGAUUUGGCUCAAAGGCUUGUGAAAUUAGCAUUGAUGAGCACAGGACAUAGUGAAGAAAAACAAACAUAAACAAGAAAUUAGCAUUGAAAUUAUGAAAUUAGACAUGUAGAAUGUCCAGUUGCACAUAUGGUGUUCUAUGGGAUAGUUAUUCUGAACAUAUUGUGUGCUCACAAAUUAUAUCUCUUGAAUUUUAGGAGUGAUAGAAGAUUCAGCAGCUCCUGAGGAGGAAUAUGUACCAAGGAACAGUAAGCGCUAUGUCAAAGGAGAAGAAGAAAUGACAACAUAUUGCUGGAAGAUUCAGAAAAAGGAAGAAUUCAGGACUUGCUUUUCAUGUCAUCUCCACGAAGAUGUUAAGAAGAGCUGCUCUGCACCCGUACUGUUUGUAAAAACAGCCUUCCCAGAGGAGCCCCACACCAUUAUUGUUCUCUCCAUUCCUGUUGGUAAUUGAUUCAGGAAGCUUUCUUGAAGAAUGUGGGUUUCUACUUCAUUAUUACUACUGCUGAAUAUGUUAUACAUGGAUUGUAAAAAAUUUUAAUGCAUCAAAAUGAAUAGCAAUACAACUAUAAUGAAUAUAAUUUAGGCCUUCAGGGUACAGAAUUUGCAGUGCUGCAAACAUUCAUUUUGAACAUCAAUGAUAAUUACAUUGUAGCUAUAACAAUAUAGAAAAUGGACUGAAAUGACCUUCCUUCUGUAAUAUUCUGCAAGUUGUUUGAUAAAAGGUAUUCCAUCACUUGUUAAGUUGUCUGUUUUGUAUGUAGGGGAAGAUGGAGGUAAGGGUGUGUGGAAUGAGAGACAAUGAGAGGAGGACAGAUGGGAAUAUGGGAUGUAGUUCUUUAUUUUAUGAUUGUAUUACAGUUUAUAAGAAAUAGUGAUGUUAGUGAGCUUCAGCAAGGACCCACCAUAAAUGUAGGUAGAGGCAGGGACAGAGAACAGGACACUGAAACAAGUUAUAUGGUCUCAGUAAUGGGACAAUGCCACUUUGUUUUCUUCUUCU